AGUGUAUGGGUAUGGCUGUGGGCAAGUUGGAGGAAACAGACUCAAAAGAGCUGGAAGAACGAAUUUUAUUGGGCAUGAGCUGAGAGAAGUAAUUUUACUAGGCAACAAACUCCAAAAAGGCUACAGCACACUUGAUUAUGCAAUUCGUGUAUGGAUAUUUGGUUGGCGUGUUGAGAUGGCAUUCAUUUCAUGGCAA
Long non-coding RNA from Vitis riparia (riverbank grape), 196 nucleotides. RefSeq lists it as uncharacterized. NCBI's taxonomy places the organism in Eukaryota, Viridiplantae, Streptophyta, Magnoliopsida, Vitales, Vitaceae. The record is from RefSeq and is a predicted model, not a curated record. The transcript has 2 exons.